UACGUAGGGGGCAAGCGUUAUCCGGAUUUACUGGGUGUAAAGGGGGUGCAGACGGCGAUGCAAGCCAGGAGUGAAAGCCCGGGGCCCAACCCCGGGACUGCUCUUGGGACUGCGUGGCUGGAGUGCAGGAGGGGCAGGCGGAAUUCCUGGUGUAGCGGUGAAAUGCGUAGAUAUCAGGAGGAACACCGGUGGCGAAGGCGGCCUGCUGGACUGCAACUGACGUUGAGGCCCGAAAGCGUGGGGAGCAAACAGG
RNAcentral lists this ribosomal RNA (253 nucleotides) under uncultured bacterium. RNAcentral's name for it is "partial 16S ribosomal RNA". It matches the Rfam family "Bacterial small subunit ribosomal RNA", at positions 524 to 776 of the family's 1533-position model. The record is from RNAcentral.